GACCUGCGGAAGGUCAUUACCGAAUUGUCAAACACGGGUUGUUGCUGGCCUCCAAAUGGGGGCACGUGCACGCUCUGUUUACACAUCCACUCACACCUGUGCACCCUCUGUAGUCCUAUGGUUCGGAAGACCCCGUCUUCCUUCUGUAGCUCUACGUCUUUACACACACACUGUAGCGAUGUCUCAUGGAAUGUUUUUAUGCGUUUAACGCGAUACAAUACAACUUUCAGCCAACGGAGACCGAAAUCUCUUGGCUCUCGCAUCGAUGAAGAACGCAGCGAAAUGCGAUAAGUAAUGUGAAUUGCAGAAUUCAGUGAAUCAUCGAAUCUUUGAACGCACCUUGCGCCCCUUGGAACCUGGGAAGUGGUAAAAAAUGGAAACAAUCCGACUCUCUGGCUCCUGUGGCUCCUGUGAGUUAGCUUGGACUUUGGGGGUUUGCUGGCCCUGCGGCCGGCUCCUCUCAAAUGAAUCAGCUUGCCAGUGUUUGGUGGCAUCACGGGUGUGAUAACUAUCUACGCUCGCGGUCGUCUGCCAGGUAACCCUCAGCGAUGAGGGUUCAUUGGAGCUCAUAAACGUCUCUCCUCGGCGAGGACAACUUUUGAACGUUCGAUCUCAAAUCAGGUAGGAUUACCCGCUGAACUUAAGCAUAUCAAUAAGCGGAGGAAU
RNAcentral lists this ribosomal RNA (666 nucleotides) under uncultured fungus. Its description in RNAcentral is "eukaryotic LSU rRNA". The stretch from base 233 to 369 matches the Rfam family "5.8S ribosomal RNA". Lineage: Eukaryota; Fungi. The record is from RNAcentral.